UGAUGCGAUCAUACCAGCACAAAUGUAAUUGAUCCUAUCAGAACACCGCCGUUAAGCGUGCUUGGGCGAGAGUAGUACUAGGAUGGGUGACCUCCAGGAAAGUCCUCGUGUUUCAUCAC
This 119-nucleotide ribosomal RNA is filed under the name Arabidopsis thaliana (thale cress). Lineage: Eukaryota; Viridiplantae; Streptophyta; Magnoliopsida; Brassicales; Brassicaceae. The record is from RNAcentral.